GAAACCAUGCGCCUACGAACCGUCGGGGCCCUCUUGUGGGGUGACGGCGUGCCUAUCGAAAAAUGAGUCUGCGAGUCAGUGGCAUGUGGCGAGCAUAACCCGUGUGGGGUAUGCGUAGCGAAGGCGAGUCUUAAAAGGCGUUUGAGUCGCGUGUCCUGGACCCGAAGCGGGAUGAUCUAGCCCUGAGCAGGUUGAAGCGCGGGUAAGACCGUGUGGAGGACCGAACCCACCUGGGUUGAAAACCGGGGGGAUGACUUGGGGCUAGGGGUGAAAGGCCAAUCAAAUUCCGUGAUAGCUGGUUCUCUCCGAAAUGCAUUUAGGUGCAGCGUCGGAUCGAUUACAUCCGGGGGGUAGAGCGACUGGAUGCUUGCGGGCCCAUAUCGGGUACCAACAGCAACCAAACUCCGAAUACCCGUGAUGCGUAUCCCGGCAGUGAGUCGGCGGGGGAUAAGCUCCGUCGUCGAAAGGGAAACAGCCCAGAUCGUCGUCUAAGGUCCCCAAGCGUGUGCUAAGUGGGAAAGGAUGUGGAGUCGCAUAGACAGCCAGGAGGUUGGCUCAGAAGCAGCCACCCUUGAAAGAGUGCGUAACAGCUCACUGGUCUAGUGGUUCCGCGCCGACAAUGUAGCGGGGCUCAAGCACACCACCGAAGACGCGGCAGUAGCUUUGCUACUGGGUAGGAGAGCGUCCCGUGCGGGGCGAAGCGGCGGCGCAAGCCCGCCGUGGACCGCAUGGGAGUGAGAAUGCAGACAUGAGUAGCGAAAGACGGGUGAAGAUCCCGUCCGCUGGACGACCAAGGGUUCCAGGGCCACGUUCAUCGUCCCUGGGUGAGUCGGGUCCUAAGGCGAGGCCGACAGGCGUAGUCGAAUGGACGAACGGGUCGAUAUUCCCGUACCGGCAUGCAACCGGCAAAACCGAAUCCGCGAGUACUAACCUCCGGGUCCGGGCUCACGUCUCCUUCGGGAGCCGGAUGCCCUGGCCUGUUGGGACCGUAACGGUAGUAGGUCAGCGCGGGAGUGACGCAGAAGGGUAGCCGGCCGCGGAGGUGGUCUUCCGUGGUCAAGCACGCAGCCCGUCCCACAGGCAAAUCCGUGGGGCGCGUGGGCGAGGUGCGAUGAUGGGCGCCGUUGGGCGCGAUAUCCGGUGAUCCCGGCUGCCGAGAAAAGCUUCGGCGUGAGGCGGCAUGCCGCCCGUACCCCAAACCGACACUGGUGGUCAGGUAGAGAAUACCAAAGCGAUCGAGCGAAUCCUGGUCAAGGAACUCGGCAAAUCACUCCCGUUCCUUCGGUUUAAGGGAGACCCCCGAUGGUGAAGCGGCUUGCCCGCGGAGCUUUUGGGGGUGGCACAGACCAGGGGGUAGCGACUGUUUACCAAAAACACAGGAGCGUGCGAAGGCGCAAGCCGCUGUAUACGCUCUGACGCCUGCCCGGUGCCGGAAGGUUAAGAGGAUCCGUCAGGCCUCGGCCGAAGCGGUGAAUUCAAGCCCCGGUAAACGGCGGUGGUAACUAUAACCAUCCUAAGGUAGCGAAAUUCCUUGUCGGGUAAGUUCCGACCUGCACGAAUGGCGUAACGACUUCCCCACUGUCUCGACCAGGAGCUCGGCGAAAUUGCAGUACGAGUAAAGAUGCUCGUUAAGCGCAGAAGGACGAAAAGACCCCGGGACCUUUACUAU
RNAcentral lists this ribosomal RNA (1669 nucleotides) under Bifidobacterium breve. RNAcentral describes it as "bacterial LSU rRNA". It matches the Rfam family "Bacterial large subunit ribosomal RNA", at positions 552 to 2107 of the family's 2925-position model. Lineage: Bacteria; Bacillati; Actinomycetota; Actinomycetes; Bifidobacteriales; Bifidobacteriaceae. The record is from RNAcentral.